CAGCCGCCGCGGGAAUACGUAGGGGGCAAGCGUUAUCCGGGAUUACUGGGUGUAAAGGGAGCGUAGACGGUUAAACAAGUCUGAAGUGAAAUGCCGGGGCUCAACCCCGGAGCUGCUUUGGGAACUGUAGAACUGGAGUGUCGGAGGGGUAAGCGGAAUUCCCAGUGUAGCGGUGAAAUGCGUAGAUAUUGGGAGGAACACCGGCGGCGAAGGCGGCUUACUGGACGACAACUGACGUUGAGGCUCGAAGGCGUGGGUAGCAAACAGGAUUAGAUACCCCGGUAGUCCCUGUCUCUUAUAC
RNAcentral lists this ribosomal RNA (301 nucleotides) under uncultured bacterium. Its description in RNAcentral is "partial 16S ribosomal RNA". It matches the Rfam family "Bacterial small subunit ribosomal RNA", at positions 509 to 807 of the family's 1533-position model. The record is from RNAcentral.